Molecule: transfer RNA, 65 nt
Filed under: Nannochorista philpotti
Lineage: Eukaryota; Metazoa; Arthropoda; Insecta; Mecoptera; Nannochoristidae
Description: tRNA-Tyr
Rfam family: tRNA
About the family: Transfer RNA (tRNA) molecules are approximately 80 nucleotides in length.
Source: RNAcentral
GAUUUAGUGGCUGAGUGACAGGCAAUAGAUUGUAAAUCUAUUUACGAAAAUUAUUUCUUAAAUCA